Molecule: ribosomal RNA, 234 nt
Filed under: uncultured Lactobacillus sp.
Lineage: Bacteria; Bacillati; Bacillota; Bacilli; Lactobacillales; Lactobacillaceae
Description: partial 16S ribosomal RNA
Rfam family: Bacterial small subunit ribosomal RNA
Source: RNAcentral
CCCAAGAGAUCGGGAUAACACCUGGAAACAGAUGCUAAUACCGGAUAACAACAGAUGAUGCCUAUCAACUGUUUAAAAGAUGGUUCUGCUAUCACUCUUGGNAUGGACCUGCGGUGCAUUAGCUAGUUGGUAGGGUAACGGCCUACCAAGGCGAUGAUGCAUAGCCGAGUUGAGAGACUGAUCGGCCACAUUGGGACUGAGACACGGCCCAAACUCCUACGGGAGGCAGCAGGG